CCAGUAACCUCCCAGUGAGCUCCCAGUAACCCCCAGUGAGCUCCCAUGAGCUCCCAGUGAGCUCCCAGUGAGCUCCCAGUAACCCCCAGUGACCUCCCAGUAACUCCCAGUAACCACCAGUGGCCCUCCCAGCAAAAUCUGGAGCCUCGCAGUAACUCCCAGUAACUCCCAGUAGCUCCCAGUAGCUCCCAACAACCCCCAGCAGCCCUCCCAUAGCUCCCAGUAGCUCCCAGUAGCUCCCAGUGCCGCCCACCUUCUUGUCGGAUUUCUUCUCGCG
Molecule: long non-coding RNA, 277 nt
Organism: Poecile atricapillus (Black-capped chickadee)
Lineage: Eukaryota; Metazoa; Chordata; Aves; Passeriformes; Paridae
Exons: 3
Source: RefSeq, a predicted model, not a curated record